Lepisosteus oculatus (spotted gar) is the source of this 119-nucleotide ribosomal RNA. Lineage: Eukaryota; Metazoa; Chordata; Actinopteri; Semionotiformes; Lepisosteidae. The record is from Ensembl.
GUUAGCAGCCAUAUCACCCUGCAACUCACAACUGGCAACCCACUGAAGCUAAGCAGGUGUGAGCCUGGUAAGUACCUGGAUGGGAGACCUCCUGGGAAAAACUAAGGUUGCUGCUGGAA